Molecule: long non-coding RNA, 1366 nt
Organism: Neogale vison (American mink)
Lineage: Eukaryota; Metazoa; Chordata; Mammalia; Carnivora; Mustelidae
Exons: 6
Source: RefSeq, a predicted model, not a curated record
AAAAUUUUUUUUAAAGCGAGUUACGUUUUGCUCCUGGAAUAGUAAUAAGAGGGCUUGGGGUAGGGAGGGUGAGAAAGAGCCCCCACUUAUAUAACGACUUGAAAUUAGAUGGCUUUUGCUGGGGAGAUUCGGAGAUUUGCGCUUGCGCCAGGUCUGAGGUUGGUUAAAGAUCCUCAAACUUUUUCCCUUAAGAGCCAAUAAACAAACAGACGCCCCGGGAGCUGACUUAAACUCUAGUCGGGCCGGCGUUCGCUGCGAUUCUCAGACUCGGAGAAAUGCACACCCCUGCGGCGCUCGCAGGGAAGUCCCUCGGAAGCAGGGCGGGUCACUUUCGGAACUGGGACUCCGGCGUUCCCGGCGGAAAGGGAUCCCUAACCGCCACCCCCUGGCUCCCCUCGGGCGUUUUAGAGUAAAAGCCGGCCGGGAUCUCGCCGCCCUUCGCCGGCGGCCUCGGUGCGGUGAGCUUGCGUUCUGGGCGCGGCGUUCCUGCAGCUCUGCUACGCUGAGGAGCCCUGAGGAAUUCGGGAUCCAGGGGACGCUUCGGAAUCUCACGGGCAACCUGUCUGCGCCUCGCAUUCCUGCCGGGACCGACCCAUUUCCCCUCUAAGGGCAUCUCGACGCUUCAGCCUUUCCCGGUGCUUCUAUUUCUCCUGUGCACGGGCUUUGGUCUGGUGAGGAAGAGCAUCACUGGUCAGUCAGUCCUCAUUUGGAUUCCCAGCACAAAAAGUGUUCACUCUGCAUUGGUCCUUAGGGAUCUGUUUCUCCAGCCAACUCAUUCUACAGGCCAUCGACACUCAAAACACAUCCUCAACCACCAUUGGAUUGAACUGGCCUAGUACUAUCGAAUAGCAGGUUUGUAGUAAUCUGUGACAGAAGCCAUAGGAGACAAAUACUGUGGUAUCAAUGGCGCUGUUGAGGACAAGAAGCCUUGUAGAUGGAACCCAAGGGUUCUGGACCUGUGUGGACCAGUAACUCGGGGGUGAUGGAUGAUGGAUCCCCAGAAGAUGGCAGUGUGGACUGAAGACACAGAAGGAGCUGAAUUACUCUAGAUGAUUUCUGCCACAUUGGCUGAAUGGAAGCUUAAAAUACAAAUGAAAUUGGAUUAUAGACAUGAAAGACGCUUGAGUCUCGUAUGCCUGAGGAUCUUCCAUCAAUGGAAGCUUACUGUAUGUGACCUGGGGUUCUUCCACUCCGAAUAAUUCUUUGAAGAUUCCAGCAGGUUGUUGCCUGUAUCAAUAAUUGGUUUUUAUUCUGGAGCCGUAUUCUUUGUUAUGGAUGUGUUAUAGUUUAUUUAACCAUUUUCUUGUUAAGGGACACCUGGGGCUUUUCUAGUUUCUGGCUCUUCUGAAUAAAAAUGCUGCAAACA